This is a long non-coding RNA of Malaclemys terrapin pileata, 2146 nucleotides long. RefSeq lists it as uncharacterized. The record is from RefSeq and is a predicted model, not a curated record. NCBI's taxonomy places the organism in Eukaryota, Metazoa, Chordata, Testudines, Emydidae. The transcript is spliced from 3 exons.
UCUCUCUCUCUCUUUCACCUACAUCUACAGACACCACAUCAAGUGACUGAAGUGCUGAUCAAAGGGGAGAGCCUGGCUGAAGAGCAACCAGACAGCCUGUGCAAAGAUCCAGUGUGUGCCCCUGGUCCACCAUCCGGCAGUUUGGAAUGGCACCAACAGCAAAGGAUACAAAAAUGGACACUUUUAGAGCACCAGAAUUAAUACCACUACAACCAUUGGCAUAAGCAGACCACAGAGGAGGAGCUGAUGAUCAGCACAGGCACAAACUCUGCCUCCAGGAAUGGCUAAGCAAAGAGUGCUGCAGCCUCCAUUAUUAACACGACAUGCAUUGUCACCUGCAAUUAAAAAGAAAAAGUAAUCUUAAAACAUAAUUGCUCAAAAUCCAUGCAGUAACUAGAGAGCAUGUAGAAAAUGAACUGCGAUCUGCUUUUACGUACAAGGAAACAUGUUAUUGUGGGAGUUUUUCUGCUGUUAUUGUCUAUACCUGCAGGUUAUGCAACAAAAAUUAUAUCAUCAGUUCAUAAAUGUUAUCUCUCACUCUUUAAUAAAUAUUAGCAUUUUUACAGGACACAGAUGCAUGAGUUCAAAAAUUAAAGUGAACUUCAUUAUUUUUAAAUAGACAAUAACAUAAAAUGAAAAAAUCUCAACUAUAUUGGCAGCUGAGACCCAAGUGAAAAAUGUGACUACAAUGACAGACUAGGUUAUUAUAACCCAGGCCUGAGAGGCUGGAAGUGUUAUGUGGAGAAUAAUGAGGAAAAUGCAUAAUAUAAAAUCAUUCUAUCAGCAAUAAAUAUUUAACUCAAAUGCACAAAUUAUCAGUGUAAUCUGGCACUCAGACUGACUGACCUAGAGUAGACUAGGAUCCUUUUCAUCAUUCUCAAAUCUAAAUUUAAUUUGGCAUGCUUACAAAAGCUUAGAAAUGAAAGAAAGUGAAAGCUAGACAGGCCAAUGAGUCUGCAUAAACUCUUUAACACCACUUAACUUCUGAACUCAGUGGCAAUCAAGCUUGGUUCAUAUUGUUCCCUCCAACCAGGACUGCCACCUUUAAAAAAGGAGUUUCCAGCUAUGGCUAUGGUUUUCCUGCUAUUACUGCAUGAUCCCAGUUCCAAAUAUGUAAUACUUUAUAGUACUGUUUGGCUUUUUAUCAAAGCGACAGUUCACCAUUUUCAUGUGCCAAAAUUAAUUACACCUUUAGUUAUAUAUAAAGAGCUCUGUUUGAAACCUGAAAAACUAAAGAAAUAGAAAAGUCAAUAAAUUCAUAAUGGAGAAUAAAUAAGAAAAGGAAAUGCUGAAAUAUAUCAGGAUAUACUUUUCAGUGUUGUGAAUGGGAGUUAAGCACUCGCUUAUUCUAAUGUGAGUUAUGCUCAUAAUUUGCUACUGCCUAUGAAUUUUAAAUUCUGAAGAACAAAUUACUAUUAUACCAGAAUUUUAUGCCUUUGUCAUAUGAAAAAGUAGAAACUGACAAGUUACUUUCUGUCCUGUCAUGAGGUGACAUUAAAUAGAAAAUCAUUAUAAUAAUUUCAUAAGCUUAGUUAGAAUUAGACUGAAACACAUCUAGUCUUGGUCCUAUAUUCCUCAUGCACUCAGAAUAGACAGUAAGAUCGAUGUGGGUGUUUGAGGAAUGAAAAAAAAAAUCAGAUUCCACUUUAUUUAUUUAUUUUAAGGUAUGUAGAGUAUUAAGACAAGGGGAAAUUUUGCCUGCGGGUUUUUAUCAUCUGCCAAUGCUUGCUGCAUCCCCUCUAACCACCAUCUCAACUCUCCGACAUACUCUGCUACCAGGGUCUGAUUCAAAGCCAUUGAAGCCCAUCUUAAGUACUUCAGUAGGCUUUGAGUCAGACCCUAAUUACUUAGUCAUGCACUGCCAUUGUCAUUUGACUGCUGCUCCUCAAGUGAGGCUAGGUUUCAGAUGCUGCUGGUAAUGAACCAUGGUUAGGCAGACCAUAACCAAGUCUGUACAAAUCUUGUAACGGAUUUCCAAAUCUUCCACUCCUUGAGUCCACUAUUAGCAAAAUUCCACUAAAUAAGGGUACAUUCAGUGACUGCUAAAUAGACUAAAUAGUAUUUAACAAGGUGUGAAAUGUUCAACAGUGGUUUUCCAAAAAAUGUUGUAUCUGAUACAGACAAUGAAAAAAUAAUAAAAUGCAGA